CUCCGGUUUCUGUACCCAAACUUGGAACUCAUAAGGUAGGCAUAGGUGCUGCAAUGUUUGUGUACUGUUAAAGCGUAUUAUGGUGUCACAGCUGCCGUGACUCUUCACUUUACAGCGGUGUUGGCCGUUCCUGUUGUGUGCAGCUUCGGAGAGGACUUUGAAAAGCGCGGUGUCUGCUCUUCCUCACUGCGAGACGGUGACUGGGUUUGAGCUGUGCGCUGUGCUUAAGCUCCCUUCGCUCCGACACAAAUAUAUCUCCAUAAACACCCCGCAUCCCGGGGUAGGACACAGACCAGGUUGGAGGCACACAAGCAAACUUUUUAUGCUGUUGGCUGGACAUAACCUGCACAUCCCAAGGAAUGUCUUACAACACCUCCAGAGACCACAUGGCCAGACAGGCCGGACCACACUGGAGGCCGGAGCAUCACAGCAGCAGCAGCUGGACUCAGCCAGUGGACCCUGAAGUACUCAGCAACAGACUUCAGGGCCACACAGGGGGAGAGAAAUUGAACCUGGGGGACCAUGCACAGUUUCCUGCCCUGCCCAACAGGGGGCAUCCCCAACUGGCCCCUGAGUGCAACAGACCUACAACAGAACAAAGUGGGAUGCUCACAGGGACAAGGCAGGAAAUGGAAGCUCUCCCACCCCGGGACAGAGAUCGGAGAAGCAGAGUACGGAGACUCUCUUCCUCUGUCCCCCCUCCCCUGGCUCCUCUCUAUGGGCAUAAAUAAAAGAGACCAGGACCCACAUAACACAUCCAUUAAACAAUUAAGAGCAGUCUAUAGGAAAGCCACAUUCACCUUUCCUAAUGCUGAAAUCAAAUUUCCCAUCAUCAAUUUUUCAACACACCUUCCUCCCAGAACAACGUCAGAAUUUAACAACCAUUAAUGAUUACAUCCUUUCACACUUACCUCAUCAACCACUUCCACAGCAUCUUUUCAGGACCACCCAGGACAAUAUCCACUGGACCCCGGAAACUGCUGGCGAGGUCUUAAAUUUAUAAUCCCUGUACAGCAUCAGGAAGGGUGAAUCUGAGACCCCUUUGGUUCAGCAUUUCCAAAUACAUCCGAUUCCACAUCUAAUCAUCUUUGGUGUGGAAAGCAACCCCAACUGGACUCCUGGUCAAAGGAGGAGAGCGGAGGGAACCUGGAUCAGCCAAGUUCCUGAUACAAUAUACAGUACAUUCAAUACACAAUUGUCAACAAAGAUUAAAUACAUGAAAAGCUCAUCUCCAUCUCCUUUUUUCUCGGUUGUAUACAAAGUUCAAUACAUACUGGAUCAUAUUGCUGGUCUGAUUCAUCAUGGCAUCCUGUAUAUACAUCCUGAGCUGCACCUCUGUUCAUUUGGUUUAUAAUUGAAAGACAGCACUCCA
Epinephelus lanceolatus (giant grouper) is the source of this 1372-nucleotide long non-coding RNA. RefSeq lists it as uncharacterized. Lineage: Eukaryota; Metazoa; Chordata; Actinopteri; Perciformes; Serranidae. The record is from RefSeq and is a predicted model, not a curated record.